UACGGAGGGUGCAAGCGUUAAUCGGAAUUACUGGGCGUAAAGCGCACGCAGGCGGUCUGUCAAGUCGGAUGUGAAAUCCCCGGGCUCAACCUGGGAACUGCAUUCGAAACUGGCAGGCUAGAGUCUUGUAGAGGGGGGUAGAAUUCCAGGUGUAGCGGUGAAAUGCGUAGAGAUCUGGAGGAAUAUCGGCGGCGAAGGCGGCCUCCUGGACGAAGACUGACGCUCAGGUGCGAAAGCGUGGGGAGCGAACAGGAUUAGAUACCCUGGGAGUCCACGCCGUAAACGAUGUCGAUUUGGAGGUUGUGCCCUUGAGGCGUGGCUUCCGGAGCUAACGCGUUAAAUCGACCGCCUGGGGAGUACGGCCGCAAGGUUAAA
RNAcentral lists this ribosomal RNA (375 nucleotides) under uncultured bacterium. RNAcentral describes it as "bacterial SSU rRNA". It matches the Rfam family "Bacterial small subunit ribosomal RNA", at positions 524 to 898 of the family's 1533-position model. The record is from RNAcentral.